This 72-nucleotide transfer RNA is filed under the name Canis lupus familiaris (dog). It matches the Rfam family "tRNA". Rfam says of the family: Transfer RNA (tRNA) molecules are approximately 80 nucleotides in length. Lineage: Eukaryota; Metazoa; Chordata; Mammalia; Carnivora; Canidae. The record is from Rfam by way of RNAcentral. RNAcentral also lists the same sequence under 2 other names.
GCCUGGUUGGAUCAGUCGGUAGAGCAUGUGAUUCUGGAUCUUGGGUCGUGAGUUCAAACCCCACGUUAGGCA